AGAGCAGGCAGAUGCCUGCCAGGGCCAGGGAGAGCUUUCUGAGAGGGUGGUGAGAGACUGGAGAGGUGGGAGAGGGGUAGCUAUGAAAGGAAAAUGUGUGGAGGUGACAUGGUCUGUAGGUUGGGCCAGGCCAGAAGAGAAGGUCAAAGAGAAAUGAGUGUUCCAGUCAGGCUUGAUGUCUUAGGGAAGAUCCUGGGGCCCAGCCCACUGCCCCCUCCUCUCCGUCUCUCCUGCUCCCGGGGCUGAGGGAAUGGAAGGAGCUGUGCCACUGUGAGGAGGAGGACCUGCAUCUGUGAGGGGCCUGCUGGGACCAGCUGCUGGGGAGUACAGCUUUCUCUCAGUAGCUGAAGGGGGCUGCCUCUUUUCCAAGGGGCAGCUGCCACGCCACCGCAGGAAAAUCUGGCUUGCCAUUUUGGAUACCUGGAUUUUCCCACAGUGUGAGGGGGCUGGGGGUGUGGCCCAGGAAGGUGCACCUGAGGUGGGAGAAGAAAGAAGAAGACUGGAUGGGAGUCAGCUGAAUUGGGGGCCGCAGAGGCUGGGGUGAGAGGGAGGGAAGGAGGUGUCAAAGCUCAGCCUCCCAAAGCUGAGCGAGAAGAGCAUGACGGGAGGGUGUUUCCCACCUCCUCGCCCACUCCAGCGCAGGGUCCUGUCUCCGUCCAAACGCUGCAAGCCUUUCCACAUUCCUGCACUACCUUCCUGCGCUGCCUUUGGAGAUCUGAGAGUCUUCAGGCAUGAACUCUGGGAAGGUCUCACUCUGCUGCCCGGGCUGGAAUGCAAUGGUGUGAUCUCGACUCACUGCAACCUCUGCCUCCUGGGCUCAAGCAACCCUCCUGCCUCAGCCUCCCAAGUAGCUGGGACUGCAGCCGUGUGCCACCACCACACCCAGCUAAUUUUUGUCUUUUUGUAGAGACAGGGUCUCACCAUGUUGACCAGGCUGGUCUCAAACCCCUGAGCUUAAGUGAUCCACCUGCCUCAGCCUCCUGAAGUCCUGGGAUUACAGGUGUGAGCCACCGUGCCCAGCUCUAAUUUAUUUUUAAAAGGUGAAUUGCUCCAGAAGUGUUUUGAACAUUCUUAGCAACAGCAAUUCUCUUUCUUCACCUUUACACCUGACUGGGGUAGGCCUGGUUGUCAUGACAUCACUGUGGAAAGCAACCACCUGGGGGACUGCUUGGUGAUCAGUCAAGCCUUCAGCUGACCAGCUUUCCCUUCUAUGGUCUGGAGCACCACAGGGCAGGGACAGGAGAGCACCAAUUCUUCAAUGUGAACAGAACUCUCCGACAUCAUCAGAAGGGAUGUCUGCCGGUUUUGCCUCCCCAAGCAUCCUUUCUGCCUUUUUCUGCUCGCAGCAUCUUGCUUCCCUUCUGGGAGUGCCUACUGCCUGUUCCAUUGCACUAAUGUCUGCCCUCUCCAAAGCUUAGGCAUGUGACCCAAUCAGACUAGAGUGUCUUUCCUGAGAACCCAGGGUUGUGGCCCCGGCAACAAGAUAGAUAGCAGUUAGGUCAGAGUGCUCUUGACCCAUGAAUUCUUACUACUCUGAAUUUUGAGCAGGGUUUACAUAAAUAAUAAAUUAGAGCAAGCUCAAAGUUAGCCCUAAAAUACUGUCACUUUCUCUUGAUUUUAAUAUACUUUCUUGAAGAGGUGAGAGAAAGCUUGCACUAUCCCUAAUAGGUAGGAAAUUGUAUGUCACCUGCAUGAUAGCUGUGGCCUGGGGUCCUGUCCUUCCAAAGCAUGGCUGUCCAAAUCUUCCAGUUUAGGAAUCUAAACUGGAAAAUGUAGCCACUGCGCAGCACUGCCUUCAUACCAUCCAGAAACCAGAUAUUUCCUUUUUCCUUAAAGUGCCCCAGGAAUAGAGUUACUAGAUUUAAUAAAUACAAAUACAGGAUACCCGGUUACAUUCGAAUUUUAGAUAAACAUAAAUGAAUACUUUUUUUAGUGUAAUUAUGUCCCAUGCAAUAUUUGGGCAUCCUGUAUUAUGUCUGGCAACCCUACUCAGGGAAGAAAAUGAUGUUUCGUCUCUUGGGGUUGACUUACAAACACUCACCCUCCUUUACCCGAUUCUGCUGUCCCUUCUCCCCCACAAGCAAAUGGCUUCUGUAAGAGUGGCCGUAUUAUUCGCCAGAUGGUUCGACCAAGGGUUACAUCUGACAAAAGAUGGACCAACCAGUGCAGCUUCCUAAGAAUUUUUCAAACAGUAAGAAAGAAUUAAGUGCUUUCAGGUGUUGGAGUUUGAGACAUUAAGCUCAGGGACUGGUGGCAGCCUUGAUUUCCAACACAUGGACAGGACUGGCCUCUAUUGAGAGAGAAUGAGGUAGACGCGCAGGCGGAAGCAGAGAGUGCUGACAGUGUUCAAAUAUUAAAUUCCAGUUGUUCUUGAGGGGCUCCUUGCCUUUGCCAUGUUUCUUUUUUCUUUUCUUUUUUUUUUUGAGACAGAGUCUCACUCUGUCUCCCACGCUAGAGUGCAGUGGUGCGAUCUCGGCUUGCUGCAACCUCCGCCUCCCUGGUUCAAGCAAUUCUCCUGCCUCAGCCUCCCAAGUAGCUGGGAUUACAGGUGCAUACCACUAUGCCUGGCUAAUUUUUGUAUUUUUAGCAGAGAUGGGGUUUCACCAUGUUGGUCAAGUUGGUCUUGAACUCCUGACCUCAGGUGAUCCACCCUCCUCGGCCUCCCAAAGUGCUGGGAUUACAGGUGUCAGCCACCAAGCCCGGCCUGCCUUGUUUUCAUAAACUAAAAAUAAAAUCCUAAGCCCCCCAACCAACUAAAUGGACCCCCUCUUGCCCAGGUGACCCCAGAGAAACCUGAAAAACUGAGUUCUUGGCCAUGAGGGGAGGGAGGUUGGACACACCUCAUUAUACCCUCUCCCUUUUGGAGUUUAGGCACAACUGGCCAGCAUUAAUGCUAAAACAGAGAUCAUAAGACUAAUAAAAUGGACUCUUCGUGACAAUAAGAUACCGAAUUAUAAACAGGACCUAAGGCCAUGCCAGACAAGGGGUAAUUCACACACUCCUACAGGUUGCUGCAGCCCAGUGUAUUGGUUAAUAGAAUUCCUUAUCUUAAAACAUUCCUUUCUGCUGACUCCAGAUUUUUAAACAGAGCUUUACUCCUUUAGCCAAUGGCAAAUUAAAGAAUCUCUGAAUCCACCUAUAACCUGUAAGCUCCCCCACUUCAAGAUAUCCGCCUUUGCAGGCUGAACCAAUGUAUACAUUCCAUGUAUUGAUUUAUGACUUUGCCUGCAAGUCCUGCCUCCCUAAAAUGUAUAAAACCAAACUGUAGGCCGGGCGUGGUGGCUCACACCUAUAAUCCCAGCACUUUGGGAGGCCGAGGCGAGCAGAUCACGAGGUCAAGGGAUCGAGACCAUCCUGGCCAACAUGGUGAAACCCCAUCUCUACUAAAAAUACAAAAAAAAAAUUAGCCGGGUGUGGUGGCAUGUGCCUGUGAUCCCAGCUACUUGGGAGGCUGAGGGAGGAGAACCACUUGAACUCGGGAAGUGGAGCGAGCUGAGAUUGCUCCACUGCACUGCACUUCAGCCUGGCAGCAGAGCGAGACUCCGUCUCAAAAAAAAAAAAAAACAAAAAAAACCUGUAAUCCCCAACUGCUUCCCGUGCACUAUCUUGGACCUCUUGAGACUGUGUUCCUGGGCCAUGUUCAUUCAUAUUGGCUCAGAAUAAACCUCUUUAAAAUAUUUAGAGCCUGGUUUUUGGAUUAACAUUUUGAUUAUUUAUGCUUUUUUAGUUUACAUGAACUACUAAGUUCUUUUUGCCCAAGGGUUGAAACCAAAUACAAGUCGCAACACUUUAUCAUAUUGGAGUCAGCUGUUAAGUUUCUGUUCCCAAGAUGUGAGGAGGAGCAGUGUCUUACUCAUCUUGGUCUCCUCAGCAUCUAACCCAGCAACUGGCAUAGAGUAGGACCUCAAUCAUGUUUUCAAAAAAUUAAUAAAUGACUCCCUGGGCAUGGAGAUGAGCAAUGUAGUGCACAUUUGACUGAUCUGAUUUCUUCUUUUUUAAAUCAUGAAUGUAUUUCUUUUUAAUUAUUUUCGUAGAGACAAGGACUUGCUAUGUUGCCCAGGGUGGUCUUGAACUCCUGGUCUCAAGUGAUCCUCCCACCUUGGCCUCCCAAAGUGUGGGGAUUACAGACGUGAGCCACCAUGCCCAGCCAUGAUUUGAUUUCUUGACAGAAACUCACCAAACAUCAGGAAUCUUUUCCACCAGCUCACUGGAAAAUCCUGAAACUUAGAGAAUCUCUCACUCCACAGCUGGCCGGAAUGGAAGGCAAGGUUGUGGUUGGGUUACUGGUUUUUGCCCAGGUAGGAAAGUAAGGGAGCCUUUAUGAUAAGGAUCAUGGUCGCUGAAACAACCAUGGUUGCUUCAAAAGUAGCCUCCUUGCAUUAUGCAGUUUUUUUAAAAAAAACUUUAUUUUUAGUUAUUUCUUAGAGACAGGAUCUCACUCUGUUGCUCAGGCUGGAGUGUAGUGGCAUGACUAUAUCUCACUGCCUCCUUGAACUCCUGGGCUCAAGUGAUACUCCUGCCUCAGCCUCCCAAGUAGUCGGGACCACAGGCACACACCACCAUGCCCAGCUCAUUUUCAAGUUUUUUGUAGAGACAGGGUUCUGCUAUGUUACCUAGGCUAGUCUUGAACUCCUAGGCUCAAGGGAUUCCUCUGCCUUAGCUUUCCAAAGUGCUGGAAUUACAGGUGUGAACCAUUGCACGUGGCCUGUGCAGUUGUUUUGAUUUCCUUUCUAAACAGAUGAGAAUGAAAUAUGAGCAAAUCCUGUUGGGUCCUUCUAAAGAGGCUCUGGGAAGAUGGCACUGGCUCUGUUUGUCUAUGCCCAGGACAGCUCCUGGAGAGCAGUGGGGAAGCACAGGAAAGGGUCCCUGCAAGGCAUGCUCAAGGUGGUGCUGUCAAGAACAGUGGAACUUGGCUGGGUGCAAUGGCUCACGCCUGUAAUCCCAGCACUUUGGGAGGCCGAGGUGGGUGGAUCUCCUGAGGUCAGGAGUUCGAGACCAGCCUGGCCAACAUGGUGAAACCCCAUCUCUACUAAAAAUAAAAAUACAAAAAUUAGCUGGGCAUGAUGGUGGGCGCCUGUAAUCCCAGCUACCUGGGAAGCCGAGGCAGAAGAAUCACUUGAACCCGGGAGGUGGAGGUUGCAGUGAGCUGAGAUAGCGCCACUGCACUCCAGCCUGGGCAACAAGAGUGAAACUCUGUCUCAAAAAACAAAACAAAACAAAAACAAAUUCCAGCAUGUCCUGCCUGGCCUUUGUCCUGUCAUCCCCAUUACCCUGACUCAGUAUUCUCAAAAGCCUGGAAUAUAGUUGCCUUCUAGUCUCAGGUUACACCAGAGCGGGGCACCUGGAUGCAUAGCACUCCUCCACCCCACCCCCACCCCAUAGACUUUCAGGAAAGAGGAGUCAGCUUUCAGCAGGACUGCCAACCUGUCUGGAAGGAGGGAGGACAGCAAGCUCUGUAGCAUCCCUAGAGAGUGGUUGCCCAGUCUCCCAAACUGCAGGGAGACAGCUCUCUCUCUCUCUCUUUGCCAGAGGAAGAAUGAACUUCUGUCACCCUCUGCACUCAAGGAACUCCAUCACCUCUAAAUUAUUUGUGUCAACCACUGAAGUCCAAGGAGAAUUUCAGAGCUGGGAGAAUUUGUUUGUAUUUUCACAAUUUAUAAUGCUCUUUUUGUCAGACCAAUUUGCCAAUACAAAAGGAUGGCCUAACAUACCAUUAUGGAGAGAGGAAACACAACAAGCAAACUAAAGCUUUUGCAACAUCAAAGUGAAUAUUAUCUUUGGCAAAAUGUAAGAGAGAUGUGGGGAAAUAAAGGCUGCUGGGAAGGUUCUGUUACUAAGGGGUUUGUCAGCUGAUCCCCGAGGCCCCUUUUGGCUCUGAAGUUCUGGAGAAUUAGAUUCUUUCCUACAUUUAUUCUGCUUUCUCUGUCCUUUUAUCGCAUGUGUUUAUUUCACCAGCUUUGUUUCUUCUAUGCUCAUCACAUUUGCAUGCUGAUUUUUCUAACAAUGAUAAGGAAAGUCUCUCUCUGAACGGAAAUUUUGAUAGCACAAUGGGUGGACAGGACAGUUGUGAUUUGUAGAAAUGUUUCCUCACAGCUAUCUUACCUGCAUGAAUAUUCUUGCUGGGACUUCCUAGGGAGUGUGUCUUCUUGUCUUCUGUUCCUUGAAUAAUAACCUGAUCAUUUACUGACAUGUUGACCUAAAAAUAAAUUCCA
RNAcentral lists this long non-coding RNA (6212 nucleotides) under Homo sapiens (human). Its description in RNAcentral is "non-protein coding lnc-FMOD-2:4". Lineage: Eukaryota; Metazoa; Chordata; Mammalia; Primates; Hominidae. The record is from RNAcentral.